CUCAGAGAUAGCUGAGAGCAUUAGAUUAGUGACUGCAGUGAUAGCUAGGGAAUUUUAAUUUGUAUAAUUUAUUCAGUCAUUAAUAAGGAGGACUAGGGUUUUAUGUAGAACUCAGUUUUAUAUCAGUAUGUGUUACAGGCAACUCAGUGAGGAAAAACUUCAGACUGAAUUUUAUUAAGUAAAACGGAUGUGAUAUAAUGCCAGAGGAAGAAACAGAGGAAAUGUGAAAAAGAGCAUUUGAAGAAAGCAGAAAAAUAAGUUGCUUUUGCCUGCCCUGGAGGCAUGAUUGAGGGGAAAACAUCAGGGUGAAGGAGCCGCCCCCUGCAGGUGGAGGAUGAGGCAAGGUUAAAACACAGCCCGAGCUGCAAGUCACCCACCAGCUGCACAAGGCAGGGGACAGAGACCCGGGCUGGAGCUGAAAGGGAGAGCGAGCCGUGGGGGAUGUGGCAGGAGAGAGGCACCAGCGCAAGGCUGAAGUGCCAGCUGAGGAGGUCCCCGUCUGUCCUGGCGCCUUCCUAAACUCCCUGUCCAACACUCCCAAGCAUGGCAUCAGCUAUAAUAGCGGCUACCACUGAGGGCAGGAGGACUGUCAUCAGCACAACAGAACUCAUAACCAGAUUUUAAACCACAUUUUUCCUCCCAUAUUAAUUAAUUUUUGGGCUUCUGAAGAAAAAUAACAGGAAUAAUGUUAAAAAUGGUUUACAAUACUUAAACAUUGCAGUUGGAUGUACAGUAGGUGUGCAGAAAUACUAGUGGACAAAAUCGGAUCUGAAGGCAAAAAUGCUAAGGAAAUUCAUGAAAAUAUCUUGAAGAGAAAUAGCAAGGAAGCAUUUCAGAACAAAGAAGAAUGA
RNAcentral lists this long non-coding RNA (851 nucleotides) under Struthio camelus australis. RNAcentral's name for it is "lncRNA (ENSSCUG00000000444.1)". Lineage: Eukaryota; Metazoa; Chordata; Aves; Struthioniformes; Struthionidae. The record is from RNAcentral.